This is a long non-coding RNA of Erinaceus europaeus (western European hedgehog), 450 nucleotides long. RefSeq lists it as uncharacterized. Lineage: Eukaryota; Metazoa; Chordata; Mammalia; Eulipotyphla; Erinaceidae. The record is from RefSeq and is a predicted model, not a curated record. The transcript has 4 exons.
UCGACCCCCCCCCUCCCCUUUGGGGACACCUAGUGUGGCGCCAGGCCUCCUCCAGAAUCAGGAAUUCUGUAAGGUCAAGCAGAAUCCUGCCAAGCCGGGACAAGCAACAGAGCAGAGAGGCACAGCCCCUCUGGAAGACUAUACGGCGAGUCCUUAGACAAACAGAAGCGGAGUUACACUAUGAUCCAGAAAUACCACUCUUCAGAAUUGAUCCAAAAGAACUGCAAACACUAAUUCAAAGAGAUCUACGUACUUGUAUGCUGUGCCAGUGACUGAUUGCAGGUGCAGAAAGAGGUCGAGUCAGUGGAUUGAUCCCUUGCAUCUGGUAAAGUGUGUACUCUACUGGGUUCCAGAUGCCAGCAUGAUGCCUAUCAGACUUCUCUGGACAGACAACCCCGCCAAUGUGUCCUGGAGCUCAGCUUCCCCAGAGACCCACCCUACUAGGGAAAG